RNAcentral lists this ribosomal RNA (376 nucleotides) under uncultured organism. Its description in RNAcentral is "partial 16S ribosomal RNA". It matches the Rfam family "Bacterial small subunit ribosomal RNA", at positions 527 to 897 of the family's 1533-position model. The record is from RNAcentral.
GUAGGUGGCAAGCGUUGUCCGGAAUUAUUGGGCGUAAAGCGCGCGCAGGCGGUCCUUUAAGGUCUGAUGUGAAAGCCCACGGGCUCAACCGUGGAGGGUCAUUGGAAACUGGGGGGACUUGAGUACAGAAGAGGAAAGCGGAAUUCCAAGUGUAGCGGUGAAAUGCGUAGAGAUUUGGAGGAACACCAGUGGCGAAGGCGGCUUUCUGGUCUGUAACUGACGCUGAGGCGCGAAAGCGUGGGGAGCAAACAGGAUUAGAUACCCUGGUAGUCCACGCCGUAAACGAUGAGUGCUAAGUGUUAGGGGGUUUCCGCCCCUUAGUGCUGCAGCUAACGCAUUAAGCACUCCGCCUGGGGAGUACGGCCGCAAAGGCUGA